This 777-nucleotide unclassified non-coding RNA is filed under the name Leishmania donovani. RNAcentral's name for it is "gene:LdHU3.29.1300(CDS-product:ADP-ribosylation_f actor-like_protein_3A_putative)". The record is from RNAcentral. Lineage: Eukaryota; Euglenozoa; Kinetoplastea; Trypanosomatida; Trypanosomatidae.
AUUCCACCAUACUUUUUUUUUUCUGCACUUUACCAAAUGGGCCUUCUCACACUCCUUCGCAAGCUCAAAAAGAGCGAAACAGAGCCGCGCAUGUUGAUUUUGGGUCUCGAUAAUGCUGGAAAGACCUCAAUUCUCCGCAAGCUGUCCGACGAAGACCCUACCACCACUCAGGCAACUCAGGGAUUCAACAUCAAAUCCAUCAACUGCGAGGGCUUUAAGCUGAACAUGUGGGAUAUUGGUGGUCAAAAGGCGAUCCGCACGUACUGGCCAAACUACUACGAUGAAGUAGACUGCCUGAUUUACGUCGUCGAUGCUGCCGAUCGGCGUCGCCUCGAGGAGACGGCGGCAGAGCUCGACACGCUUCUGCAGGAAGAAAAGCUUCGGGAGGCUCCUGUGCUUAUUUUCUCCAACAAGUGUGACCUCGCUACGGCACUGUCCCCGGAAAAUGUAAGCACAGCACUCAAUCUGCACAGCUUGCGCGAUCGCACGUGGUCUAUCCAGAAGUGCAGCGCGAAAACGGGCGAGGGCCUGCAUGAAGGACUGGAGUGGGCGGUGAAGAACCUUAAGCCCAAGUGAACAGUUAAUGGCGCACCUUUUUCUACUUUCGGUUUUCUGUUUUCCAGACGCUAAUCGGCGCGUCUGCGACAAGUUUCGGGAGAAGAAAGAGUAUUAGGGAUUCUCCAAAACGAAGAAUACGAUAGAAACAGUUUUUUUUUCUCAUAUACCUGCGCUAUUUUUGCUCAUGUACAACGGCCAAUACAACAGCCGCCAGCCACC